Molecule: ribosomal RNA, 482 nt
Filed under: uncultured bacterium
Lineage: Bacteria
Description: partial 16S ribosomal RNA
Rfam family: Bacterial small subunit ribosomal RNA
Source: RNAcentral
AAUGAACGUUGGCGGCGUGGAUUAGGCAUGCAAGUCGUGCGAGAAUCGUAGCAAUACGAGGAAAGCGGCGAAAGGGAGAGUAAUGCAUGGAUAUCUACCCUCGGGUCUGGGAUAGCUACGGGAAACUGUAGGUAAUACCAGAUGACAUCUCCGGAUCAAAGGUGUGAUUCCGCACGAGGAGGAGUCCAUGCCCUAUUAGCUAGUUGGUGAGGUAACGGCCCACCAAGGCUGAGAUGGGUAUGGGGUGUGAGAGCACGACCCCACUCACUGGGACUGAGAUACUGCCCAGACACCUACGGGUGGCUGCAGUCGAGAAUCUUCGGCAAUGGGCGCAAGCCUGACCGAGCGACGCCGCGUGCGGGAUGAAGGCCUUCGGGUUGUAAACCGCUGUCAGUGUGGAGGAAAUUCCUAGGGGUAAUCUCCUAGGAUUGAACUAUACGCAGAGGAAGGAUGGGCUAAGUUCGUGCCAGCCGCCGCAGUAA